Molecule: long non-coding RNA, 4828 nt
Filed under: Mytilus galloprovincialis (Mediterranean mussel)
Lineage: Eukaryota; Metazoa; Mollusca; Bivalvia; Mytilida; Mytilidae
Source: RNAcentral
UGAUUAACAACCUUCCUAGUUGAAAGCCAACAGGACCGUAUGCACUAAGGUAAACAAACGUAUUUUUUAAAUGUUUAUAAGAGUAAUUAUGAAAACAAAUCAAGUUAGACAUUCUGAAUGAUUUAUUUGUAAAUAUUGACCGGCCAAUAUGAAUACGUAUUUACUAUUAAAAAAAUCAGCUUUCGUUUUUGUUAUGUAAGCUAUGUGGUCUAUUGUUAUUGUGUGUAUUUGUGAUAUAAUUGAUUAAAGUACAUACUGCAUUCCUCGCGUUUUUUACAUUUGGUUAUGUGGGGUGCUUUUUAGCUUAUUUUAUGCUAUGGAUAUUUAAUUGACCAUUUUUGAAACUCACACGAUGACCCUCGUCAUUUGGUGGAUGGUCAGUGUCAAACAAAAAUUUAUGUUUGUAUUUUUAUUUUAAAUUAAUAAUGUCCUUGUUUUGGUCAGUGUUUAUUCAUCGACUUAAGCCGUGUUCACAUCGACCUAAACUCAGUGUUGUGUUAGUAUUAUUCACAUGUAAACUAAACACAAUUUCGUUCCCAUUGAUAAAACUCAAUGUUCAUAUCAAAUUUAAAUAAAUUGUUGUCAACAUUCAGUCGAUAGAUAUUGUAAGCCUUGUGUGGUUUAAGUGUACACAAAACUGGCUAUAUAGAACAUGAAUUUACCGUGUCUAUUUAAAGAAGAAACGAUUUUUUAAUUUAUUUGAUAUUUAUCGCUUCUGUGUGUGUUGAAUUGUUUUUUUUUUUUUGUUGUUGUUGCACUUUAGUGUUUCUUUGUUUUCCUUUUCUAUUUUAUGUAUUUCCCGAAAUGUUAGUUUAUGACCCGGAGUUGGUUUCUCUCAAUCGGUUUGUGACUUUCAAACACCGGUUUACUACUGUUGCCUUUAUUGAAUUAAAUUAUUUACAGUAUAAUUUGUCUUAACUUGAUAUAUUGCUUUUAUUAGAAAAUAAAACCAAAGAUAGCUAGCCUUAUUAACCCGUUAUCAAGACCCGAAGCAUAAUUGUUGCCAAACAUAAUUCAUUUGAAAAGGUCUUCCCUUAUAGACGUCAUUUAAAUGUUUGCCACUGGUCUUUACACAAUAAUUGAUUUACUUAUACAUUUUGUAAAUGCAUUAAUUAAAAGAGUGUGCGGUAAAUUGUUUUGUUUGGCUAGUAUCUCAUAUCCGGUAAAAUGUACUUAGAAUAAAAAAGCAUUUAUUUGCAAUGUACGAACUAUUAUUUUAAAGCCAAAGUCGUAGUAUUUAUUUUUUUCUGAAUCAAUUUUUUUUUCGCGCGAACCAUUUAUUCAGUGAAACACAACACUGAAUUACACGUUUGCGCGACAAAAAGUUUCGUCUCUAUCAAUCAUUUUUUUCUUCAGUAUUUGGGAGUUGAAUGGUGGUUUCAUUAAUUCUAGAAAAAUUGUCCAGAAAUUUGCGUUCGACUUUAUGUACUGAUAUUUAAAUGACGUAUAGUUUACAAGUGUAAGCAAAUCUAACGUACAGGUAAUCAACCCAGCUGUAUAGAUGUGAACAAGUUUAAUGUGAAACCAGUGUACAUUACAUUCAUUACAUUUAUCCAAUUACAAUAUAAAAAAGAAGAUGUUGUAUGAUUGCCAAUGAGACAACUAUCCACAAAAGACCAAAAUGACACAGACAUUAACAACUAUAGGUCACCAUACGGAAUUCAACAAUGAGCAAAGCCCAUACCGCAUAGUCAGCUAUAAAAGGCCCCGAUAAGACAAUGUAAAACAAUUCAAACGACAAAACUAACGGCCUUAUUUAUGUAAAAAAAAAUGAAAAACAAAUAUGUAACACAUAAACAAAAGACAACCACUGAAUUACAGGCUCCUGACUUGGGACAGGCACAUACAUAAAUAAUGUGGCCGGGUUUAACGUGUUAGUGGGAUCCCAACCCUCCCCCUAACCUGGGACAGUGGUAUAACUGUUAACAUGUUUACUGUACAUGGCGUUCGGUGUGAACACGGUCUUAUUCGGGUCACAGUAUUUGUGAUUAAAACUAAAACAAAAUUAUAAUCAGAAACAAAUAAUUACUGACGGAUUUAGGUAGGAACGUAGAGUGGGUAAAGGAAUAAUUUUUUAUGACAUUUUCGUCACCACUACAAACAAUUAUGGCCCCGGUCCCCCAUUUUUCUCGAGCCUUUAUCUUCCCCGACAGUGUAUUUACAUACAUGUUUAUUAACAAUAUGUACAUAUACAAUAUAUGUAUGUUGUCGGAAAAUAUACAAUUUAUUUGUAUGAGCUUUAAAAACAGGACGAAAAGCGAGGCUCUGUCGAGCUUUUGUCCUGAAUCGUAGCGAGUACAAAUGUAUUUUAUAUUUGCCGGCAAUGUACAUAUAUUGUUUUAACCUGAAAUUACUCCCAACACUUGAAUCUGUAGUUAUUAAAAUCAAAAUCAUUGUCUUUAAUGUUUCGAAGAAAUCGACAUCGUUGAAACGCUGAUGGCGAAGAGAACCCCAAAAUGAACUUGUUUGAAAACAGAAAUGUUCAUAUUGCCACUUGCUCAGCAUGUAAUUGGGGUCACAGGAGACUUUUAUUUGUACAAUUACUAAUAAAGCAAACAUUUAUUUGUAUACCUGUUAUUUGUACAUAAGAUGGCUAAUUGCAGGAAAAACAGCGGUAGUGUUGCCAGGGAGAAAACUAUUUGUAAAGGUGUACGGCUCAAAUAUAUUCAAUGAGGACAUAUGAGUUGAGAAGUUAUUUUUGUUUUCCGCAAAUUUUGGAAACCUUUUCAGAACAGUUAUAUGAAACACGUUUUACGCAGACUAAAAUCAUUUGCUAUCGAUCCUGGCCGACCGAAAUAUUAUUUAAAUAAUUAAUUUAUCAAAAGCAGAACUCCUUGUCGAAUUAAACUCCGAAUCUUGAAUAGCAAACAUGUUUUAAGAGGAAAUAAGAUACCACUAAAUUGUAAACGCCUUUGAUGUUAACAAUUCUCUUCUUGACUCUAGAGCUUGGCCCGAGUAAAAGUUCACCAGGACUAACACAUCAUAAACCUUAGAUCGAAAAUAGGGAGAAAAAUGUUGAGGACAUCAAACAACAAUUGUUUUAUGUCUUGAUUGGGAAAGAUGGACCGACUUGUAAGAGAAAUAAUUAUUAUUGAAGGUUCAACGAAAUUUUUUAGUGGUAACAAGUGGUAUAAAUCGUAUGAUCCUAAACCUUUGAACUCAUUGACGUGUAACUUGAUAAGGAUCGAGAUUAAUAUUACUAUAAACUUGUUUUGAGAUGAACUUGAAUAUUGAUAUAGCUAUUUUGAGUAUUUUAACAAAUUAGUCUGAAAACAAAAACGUUUACAGCCUUAUAACAAUGCAAAUAGGUAAGACAGAAUACAAAACUAUCAUUACCUAAUUAGUAUCAGCCUAAUGUCUAACAAACAACUGUUGCAUGGUUUUUGGUACAUGCAGGUUUGAAUUACUUUUUUAUUUUGGAACCCAAGGGCACAAAAUGUUACCGAUAAUUUGGGAACUUUUAAAAAGGUAAAACUUUAAACAGGUCAUUUUGUAGACCGAAAAAGGUCUUCUGAACAAGAUAUAUAUAGCCUUAAUUAUAUUUGCAUCAAUAAUAUUUUGCAGUUUUGUGAUAUGGCCUCAUCCUCCCAAAAUUGUGGUGUGUGUGACCUCCGACACAUCAACAAACCAUCCAUAAUCUGGUGUACGGAAUGUGAUGAAGGGCUUUGUCAAGAAUGUCAGGAUCACCAUAGUUUGUCCAAGGGAUCCAGAAACCAUAAUACCAUAGCAAUCACGGAAUACCAAACAUUACCUAGUGAUGUACUACAAAUCACUCAAUACUGUAACAUACACAAAGAAAAAUUUAUAUUCGAAACUCAUAAAGAAUGCCGGGAUAUCGACAAUUUAGAAGACGUCAUUCAAAAUGUAAAAACCUCGAAUGCCUUCUACGAUAUUGAAGAAACAUUGGUUGAAGUAGCAGAAAAUUUAAAAGAAAAUCUGUCAACAUCAGCAGAAAAGUCUGUUGAAUUUGAAAGAAAAAAGGAAACAAAUCGAAAAUGAAAUUGAAAAGACUCGAACAACAAUCAACAACCAUCUGGACAAAUUACAAGAAGAUUUGAUAAAACAACUUAAUGCUAUUGAGGAAACCCAAGACUCGAAAAUUUGUCAGUUGUUGUCUUCACUUGAACAGAGAGAAAAAGAAAUAACCAAGUACAGGGAAAACUUUGCUAGCAUUAAACAACACGCCUCAGAACUACAGAUUUUUCUUUCAUUAAAGCAACUAGAAGAAGACAUUGAUAUCGAAGAUAAAUUCCUACAAUCCGCAGUGAAAGGUGAGGAAUUGAAGCAAUGUCAUCUAGAAUAUAGAACCAACAUUGCUAUUCAGAAUAUCAUGUCCAAUAUCAAAAGUUUCGGAGAAGUACAGAUUAAAACUAAACCAUGUGACAUCGUUCUUAGCAGGAAGAAGACCAAACAAGCACAGAUAAUGGUACCAACCGUUCAAACAAGAUCCAUUGAGAACAUAAAACUGAAGAAAAACAAGACAAUAACAACUGAAGGUAACAACGUUUACGGGUGUUGCAUAAUUCCAGAUGGUAGAAUGGCGUUUACUUACUACUAUGCUCAUGCAGUUAGAGUAUUCAGUGAUACAGGAUUAAAAGACUUUGAGGUGAAGAUGCCAAAUUACGUACAAGAUAUACUGUAUAUAAGUAAGGACAAUACAUUAGCCGUAUCAUCUGGUGGUUCCAGUAAUAAUUGUAUUACCAUUAUAAACGUGGAAAGAAAACAAAUCACAAAAACAAUUUCAAUCAAUUCGCGUAUAGAUGGCAUAGCACUGAAAGAAAAUAAAUUAAUAUAUUCCGGUCAAAUCAAAGGAAUCCUAAUGAUCGAU